Molecule: ribosomal RNA, 280 nt
Filed under: Burkholderia multivorans
Lineage: Bacteria; Pseudomonadati; Pseudomonadota; Betaproteobacteria; Burkholderiales; Burkholderiaceae
Description: partial 23S ribosomal RNA
Rfam family: Bacterial large subunit ribosomal RNA
Source: RNAcentral
CAUAUUUGAAGGGGGCUGCUCCUAGUACGAGAGGACCGGAGUGGACGAACCUCUGGUGUACCGGUUGUGACGCCAGUCGCAUCGCCGGGUAGCUAUGUUCGGAAGAGAUAACCGCUGAAAGCAUCUAAGCGGGAAACUCGCCUUAAGAUGAGAUAUCCCUGGAGGCUUGACCUCCUUGAAGGGUCGUUCGAGACCAGGACGUUGAUAGGUCGGGUGUGUAAGCGCAGUAAUGCGUUCAGCUAACCGAUACUAAUUGCCCGUAAGGCUUGAUCCUAUAACA